This 263-nucleotide unclassified non-coding RNA is filed under the name Hevea brasiliensis (rubber tree). The record is from RNAcentral. Lineage: Eukaryota; Viridiplantae; Streptophyta; Magnoliopsida; Malpighiales; Euphorbiaceae.
GAUUUAAAAUAAUAAUAAUAAUAAUUACGACCUAUACAAGAUGCCCAUCAAGAAUAUAAUUGAACUGCAGACUAAUUUAUACCCAUGAAGCAUGUUGGAGAUGACAAAUUUUAGUUGGGAUAUAUUGUUCCAAAAAGAACAUUCAUCUCAAGAAACAUGUUACUUGUGGUUUUAUGCAUUUAUCAAGAUCAUCCUUAUGCAACAGAGUUAAACAGAAAAAGAGUGGAAUAAGAAUAAUACCUUCAUGAGGAUAAUGUCCAAAA